UGCUCUCAUGAAUGUAAGUCGCUUUGGAUAAAAGCCACUACUAAAUGACAAAUA
Molecule: non-coding RNA, 54 nt
Organism: Salmo salar (Atlantic salmon)
Lineage: Eukaryota; Metazoa; Chordata; Actinopteri; Salmoniformes; Salmonidae
Source: Rfam